This is a long non-coding RNA of Strigops habroptila (Kakapo), 3070 nucleotides long. RefSeq lists it as uncharacterized. NCBI's taxonomy places the organism in Eukaryota, Metazoa, Chordata, Aves, Psittaciformes, Psittacidae. The transcript is spliced from 2 exons. The record is from RefSeq and is a predicted model, not a curated record.
GCGUUGUUCCUGCUCCCCGACACGCUGUGGUGCUACCGGAAACAAAUAACAACAGUCAUGGUGGCGGCGGUGGUCCCCGGGCCGCCCGCCCCGCCGCCUUGCCCACGGGUUCGGCCGGUGCUGAGCGCCCUGGUGGUUGGUCCCGGGCGGGCGGGACGGGGCUGUGCCGGAGGCACGUAGCGGGGACCCGGCCGGUGCUGACAGGAAGGAGCGGGCAGGUGUGUGUGGGAAGGGGUUCCCCGCGGUUGGCUGUGGGGGCACCGGGGCUGCUGCAGGUUGGCCGGACCUCCGUGCCCGAAGCGGGGCUGGGAGGAGGGCAGUGGCAGUGAGGCUGUGCUUUCCGGGGUAGUACCCUUGCAUGGGCACUUCCUAACGACCUCUGCUGAGUUUCAGGUCUUGGAAGUUUUAAAUGUUCCCACUGAAGUCUUGCAUUAAGAGAUAUAGAAUAAUUUUAUAUCUGCGUUAUCUGCUACUGUGAGCAGAAAUUGUGUAGAAGGUUUUGCUUUCCAAGGCUUCUUCAGCCUUCAUAGACAGCCCCUUCUCAGAUGGUGAGAGUUCAGAUCGCCGAUAUGCUGUGCAGAGUGGCAUUUCUGUUACUGGCUGGUUACUCAUCUUCCUAAUGUGCGGCCCGAUAGUUAGAUGUUGCAGUAAACUGAUUUGAAUAACCAUUCGUUUUGUAGGUAAAGCAGCACUUGGCAGCUAGGAAAAGAUGCUCCUUCAGAAAAGUCAUGCCCCUUUUAAUGGGUAUAUCAAGCUUGGUUGCAUUAUUGAUUUCUGUCAUAAAUCUGGCGUUUGUUUACAUGAAAUGACUCAACUACUAAAUGGUCACAGCAAUAUUUUUUCUGAAAUUAACAUGCAACCAUGCUGAACAUCCUGUAUGUAGGUUUUUAGUGCUUGAUAUGUGUUUCGGGAACCUGCAACUGCUGUUUUGCCAGGUGUGGCGAGCUUGUGCCACUGAAGAGUAUUAUCUCUCUAGUUGGUAGCUUGUCAGUGUCUUACAUUAACCCAUCACUGUCAUGUGCAGCCUUCCAGGAGGAGCCUGUAAUAUAAAAUUGCUUAAUACUUUCUAUUAAAAGACAUUAUUUUCAGAUUUUGAUGAUUUUGUCAAGCUUCAGUUCAAGUGGAAGUCUUUCUUGCCCUUUUUAUUUUUUUACAGGUAGAAAUAUCUUAGAGAGAUUCAGCAGCUAUAAGCUGAUCUUUGUUCGUUUUUCUUUUGGAUUGAGUUUAGGCAUGAAAUACAGUUUUUCCCUAUGUAAAAGCAAAUCACUAAAAUCUAUUAAACUAGGGGAUUCAGGCUUGGGGAGAGGGUGUAUAAUUUAGCUUGGGGGUAAAAGCUCCUAGAUGAAAGUUCUUCUUGUAAGAAGUUCCAAAAUUUCCCCAAGCCCUAAAUCUAAGAAAAAAUCCCUCAGAAUUUUUGUGUGCUCAGAGGUUGAUACUGCUGAACAAUGAAAUUAUUAGAAAAACUGGAUUCUAUUGAAUGUGUGAGAGGUUUAAAACUGCAUAGAGCUCUCUGCAGUUGCACCCAUUGUGAGGAGUGAGGGCACCAAGAACGGAUAAACCCACUCUGGUGUUAUAAGUGGUUACCUGCUGGGAAAGCCAUCUCCCUUGAAGUUAUAGGAGCCAAAAGCUUGGUCUGGUAGAAGAUCUUACAGGAAGGAACUAACUGGCAAGAAAGAGUAAGGAAAGGAAGGAGAGAGAAAUUAAAGUUGAAGAGCCAGGGGGUGGAUCGAGUCUCACUUCUAAGCUUCCUUGCUUUGGUAUACAUUUGAGAAACAAAUUCAAAAUCUGGACUGCAUCUGUACAGGUACUGGCAAUCUAAUAUCUAAAAUCCUUAUGUUGCUGAUGACCCAUGGUGUUAACAGUAUGAUUUCUAUGUGGAUGGAAUGAAAAUUUUGUUUCUAUGGAUGUAGGAAGUAAUGCACAAAGUUGUAUUAAAUAAUAAAGUUCUGAGUUUAAGAACAAGAAAUUGGGCAUUGCCAAAAAUUGCCUACCUGUACAGUCUCACAGGCUGUUUUCCCGAAUUCAGAAGUAUUUGUUAGUCUUCAGUUAUAUGGCUGUGGAUGCCACCUUCUCUUCCUCCUUCCUCACUGGACCCCAGCCUCAUUCAGUGCACAGAGCAGAUAAUGCUCAUUGACUAAUUAACUGUGUAGUCCUAUUUAUUGUUAAAGUGGGUCAGUGCCUCAUUCUAAUGUGUGUUACUCUAAUCCUUCUUUGAGUACAGGAUUAUUAAUUUACUUAUAGGUUUUUCUGUGGUAAUCACAAAGGCUCCCCAAAUACCCACUUAUUUUCACAACAUAAGUGAUAGGAAUAUUGAGUGGUGAGGAGAUGAACAGUGAAAAUACAAGAAAUACUCCAGUGUGGAAGUAUUUCAAUAUGAGGGUAUGAAGUGGAAUGAGCAGGUGAUGUCCUCAGAGCUAACUAGGAGAAGUUUCUUGCAUGACAUGUGAUUAAGCUAUUCUGCACCAGACAUGUUUUGGAUACUAACAUCUGACAGGGAUUCCAAAAGUGAUCAGAUAUUCUUGGAAGAAAACUCUGCUUGAGAUUAUUAAAUGUGAAAAAAUCAUCUCUGAAUUGGACUCAUCUUCCCCUACAUAUGGCUGAGGGCCUGCUAGGAAAUCCUGCUUUAUCCUUGCCUCAUGGUUAUGCUUUUGUUCAUGUAUCUGCUGCUGUCCAGUGUCAGAGAUGAGGUGGUGGGCUAAUGUGGCUUUGGCCUGGCUGUGGCUUUUCAUGUUCUUGGGGAAUGAGACUGACUGUGGUGAUGAGCUCUGUCUGCUCUCAGAAAACAGCAUUGCUGCCCACCACCCCCAAAUUACUUGACAUGUGGAGCACAUGUGUUCAAAGUGCCAUUCCUACUUCUUCCCCCAGAGCUGUGAGUGCUCAGCUUUCUGUGUGGUUCACCUUCCAGGUAUAAACUGCCAAAAUCUGCCCAUGUAUGUCCCACAUGUCAGCCCAGUGAGCAGCAGUGUCAGUGGUGCCAGAUCUGAGAAGGCUGUAGAAGGAGCACAGGUGGGGAAAUGACUGAUGCUUGGCAUUUAGGGGAAAAGAUAUGAUUGAUUGAUAGGAUUGUAAG